UAAUUUAUUUAUUUAGCCGUUCAUUAACAAGUCCUGUGCUUUAUAAUAUAUUAAAAAAUGGAAGGACGUGAAGAAAACAGGUUUGUAAAUGAUGUUGUACAUCAUGCAGAUAGCUCAGAAGAAGAAGUAAGUUUUUUUUUUAAUUACAAAAGUAAAUAUAUAAUAUAAUAUUUGUUGCUGCCUUGUUCUAUAUAAAUGUUUCUAACAUGCAGGUAACAUUUAUAUAUGUAUUAGUUUGAAUAAAUCAUUUUAAUAAAGUUACAUUAUAGGCAGGAAUGUUUGACUGGAAAUAUAAACGAUGUUGUACAUAAUGCAGAUAGCUUAGGCAAAAAAGAGAUUGGUGAAAUGGAGAAUGAGACUAACUAGGGUGAAAAAAAAUGAAUAUUAAUAUGUGAAUGGUACUUUGUUUAACAUCUACCUGUUUCUACAGAUACAGUACAGACGCAUUUAUAAAUGGGCUUGAUGUUUUUUUGAAUUAAAUAUGUUGUAUUGAUGGUUCUUUUUAACUUGUUAAAACUUGAAGUUAUUAUCAAAUUUAUAUAUACUAUUUUUAUCAAAUAGUUAAUAUAAAAUAAUAAACAUGUAAAUUGUUUUAUUUUUUGUAAAAAUUGUUUUCUUGAUAAAUUUCAAUUGUUUAUCACUAUGUAUAUCACUUAUAGUAUUAUAUUACUUGUAA
Hydra vulgaris (swiftwater hydra) is the source of this 676-nucleotide long non-coding RNA. RefSeq lists it as uncharacterized. The record is from RefSeq and is a predicted model, not a curated record. NCBI's taxonomy places the organism in Eukaryota, Metazoa, Cnidaria, Hydrozoa, Anthoathecata, Hydridae.